This 253-nucleotide ribosomal RNA is filed under the name uncultured bacterium. RNAcentral's name for it is "partial 16S ribosomal RNA". It matches the Rfam family "Bacterial small subunit ribosomal RNA", at positions 524 to 776 of the family's 1533-position model. The record is from RNAcentral.
UACGGAGGGUGCAAGCGUUAUCCGGAUUCACUGGGCUUAAAGGGAGCGCAGGCGGCUUUGUAAGUCAGUGGUGAAAGGCUUAAGCUUAACUUGGGAACUGCCAUUGAUACUAUAAGUCUUGAAUGUUGUUGAGGUUUGCGGAAUGGGUCAUGUAGCGGUGAAAUGCAUAGAUAUGACCCGGAACACCUAUUGCGAAGGCAGCAGGCUAAACAAAUAUUGACGCUGAGGCUCGAAAGCGUGGGGAGCAAACAGG